This is a long non-coding RNA of Trachemys scripta elegans, 1563 nucleotides long. RefSeq lists it as uncharacterized. Lineage: Eukaryota; Metazoa; Chordata; Testudines; Emydidae. The record is from RefSeq and is a predicted model, not a curated record. The transcript has 2 exons.
AAGUUUGAGAAUAUAAAACAAAAGUCAGGAAAUGCCUAAGUUAUCCCUGAGAAUGAGGACUUCACUGAGGACAUAUGCCCCUGAGAAUGUGACAAGAGAACAGACCUGCCAUCCUCUCCUUAAAAUUGAGAUGGAGAUGAAGGGGAGAUGGAACCUAGUCUUCCCCCUGAACACACCCUAAUGGGCCCACCCAGAUAACUUGAAGUAUGCAGAAAUUCUAUUAUCACACAAACAUCUGGAGUCUUUGCCCCCACCUAUAAUCAUUAAGUGAGCAAAAAUCAUGUGUCCUGCAGUUGCCUUACCUGUCAGAUUGGCAUAAUCAAUUCGUUGUUUGAUUUUGGCUUCUUCAACUAUGAAGAUGGCAUUCUGAGUGAGAAGUAGCUGCCGCACUCUUGCCUUGUAUCCUUUCCGGUCAUACUUGACCACAGGAACUGCAUACUGAAACAAGUGUUAUGAUUUCCAAAAGGAACUUCUUGCCCUCCAAUGUAGAAAGCACUGACUAGUGGUCAGUUUACGGGAGUCAGAGAGACAACGGGGGGUGGGGUGAUGAGGUAAUAUCUUGUAUUGGACCAACUUCUGUUGGUGAGAGACAGAAAUGCUUUUGAGUUCAUACAGAGGUCAUCGUCUUCAGGUCUGGAAUUUAAUAUCUUUCAUUGUUAUAUAUAAUCCCAGGCCUGAAGACAAGCUCUAAGCUCAAAAAUGUGACUCUCACCAACAGAAGUUGGUCCAAUAAAAGAUAUUACCUCACCCACCUUACCUCUCUAAUAUCAUGGGACCAUCAUGGCUAUAACAACAUUGCAUACAGUUUAUAGGGGUGGCAGACAAGCAUUCUGGCUUAUAUUUUAAGGAAUGCCUAUGUGAUUUAAACUGGUCCUAACCCAUACCUCAAUUUCUCCACCAACAAGAAGAUAAUGCCACCCAGUUCACAAAGGUGUUGAAAGGCCAAAUUUAACUCAUGUCUAUAAUGCAUUUUGGCCUACUCUAGCCCCUUUCACCUAGUGUAUCAUCUCCACCAGCAGGCAAACACCCUUUUCAAUUCCAAAUUCUAUACCAUAAUCCAAAUUUAUACACACCUCAAAACUACAAUUUUUGCAAUUGGAACAUUAACACCUCAGCACAGAGUUAUCACCACAGAUACCCCCUAAUCUAAUGUAGAAUUCUUAAUACAUUGCAUCAGGAAAUCCAGACACUUGGUAAAGAAUUCACUUCUACUGAAUCAUUGCAGAAGCUUCACAGUAAUCACAGGACACAAAGUCUCACCUUGAUUGUUUCAUUGCCUAAAACCUGAAGGACUUUAGGGUUUAUCUCUUCGGUGCCUAAAAGAGAAACCAAAGAGAAGGUCAGGAGUAACACAAUGGCAGGAACAGAAAUUACUAGAAAAGAGAGAGAAAAAGUACUAGUAUUCCCUGUUCAGAUUUCUGAGUGCUACUCACCAAGUCGAGUGUUGAUGAAGAGUCUGGGAACACUCUGAGGAUAAUUGUCUUUUUUGCCCUUAAACAUCUCACUUGCAACCACUUUCUGAUCUAACUGCAAGGGGGGAGGAAGGGGGGGAGGAAAAAAAAA